RNAcentral lists this ribosomal RNA (253 nucleotides) under uncultured bacterium. Its description in RNAcentral is "partial 16S ribosomal RNA". It matches the Rfam family "Bacterial small subunit ribosomal RNA", at positions 524 to 776 of the family's 1533-position model. The record is from RNAcentral.
UACGUAGGGGGCGAGCGUUGUCCGGAUUUAUUGGGCGUAAAGAGCGUGUAGGCGGCUUCACAGGUCUGCUGUGAAAACUCGAGGCUCAACCUCGAGCUGUCGGUGGAAACCGUGUGGCUAGAGUCCGGAAGAGGAGAGCGGAAUUCCCGGUGUAGCGGUGAAAUGCGCAGAUAUCGGGAAGAACACCCGUGGCGAAGGCGGCUCUCUGGGAUGAUGCUGACGCUGAGGCGCGAAAGCCAGGGGAGCAAACGGG